Molecule: transfer RNA, 81 nt
Filed under: Ovis aries (sheep)
Lineage: Eukaryota; Metazoa; Chordata; Mammalia; Artiodactyla; Bovidae
Rfam family: tRNA
About the family: Transfer RNA (tRNA) molecules are approximately 80 nucleotides in length. Their secondary structure includes four short double-helical elements and three loops (D, anti-codon, and T loops).
Source: Rfam by way of RNAcentral
UCCAAACUGUUUUAGUGGUAAAGAAUCUGCCUGACAAUGCCAGAGAUGCAGGAGAUACAGGUUUGAUUCCUGGGUCAGGAA